RNAcentral lists this ribosomal RNA (1397 nucleotides) under uncultured bacterium. Its description in RNAcentral is "bacterial SSU rRNA". It matches the Rfam family "Bacterial small subunit ribosomal RNA". The record is from RNAcentral.
AGAGUUUGAUCCUGGCUCAGGAUGAAUGCUGGCGGCAGGCUUAACACAUGCAAGUCGAGGGGCAGCGGGGAGGAAGCUUGCUUUCUCCGCCGGCGACCGGCGCACGGGUGAGUAACACGUAUGCAACCUGCCCCUGUCAGGGGGACAACCCGCCGAAAGGCGGGCUAAACCCGCGUACAUGCCACCGGGGCAUCCCGGAGGCAGGAAAGGCUUCGGCCGGACAGGGAUGGGCAUGCGGCGCAUUAGGCAGUAGGCGGGGUAACGGCCCACCUAACCGACGAUGCGUAGGGGUUCUGAGAGGAAGGUCCCCCACACUGGUACUGAGACACGGACCAGACUCCUACGGGAGGCAGCAGUGAGGAAUAUUGGUCAAUGGUCGGGAGACUGAACCAGCCAAGCCGCGUGAGGGAGGAAGGUACAGAGUAUCGUAAACCUCUUUUGUCAGGGAACAAAGGCGGGGACGUGUCCCCGGAUGAGUGUACCUGAAGAAUAAGCACCGGCUAACUACGUGCCAGCAGCCGCGGUAAUACGUAGGGUGCGAGCGUUAAUCGGAAUUACUGGGCGUAAAGGGUGUGCAGGCGGCUGAGUAAGACAGAUGUGAAAUCCCCGGGCUUAACCUGGGAACCGCAUAUGUGACUGCUUGGCUAGAGUGCGUCAGAGGGAGGUGGAAUUCCACGUGUAGCAGUGAAAUGCGUAGAUAUGUGGAAGAACACCGAUGGCGAAGGCAGCCUCCUGGGACGCAACUGACGCUCAUACACGAAAGCGUGGGGAGCAAACAGGAUUAGAUACCCUGGUAGUCCACGCCCUAAACGAUGUCAACUAGUUGUUGGGGAUUAAAAUUCUCAGUAACGCAGCCAACGCGUGAAGUUGACCGCCUGGGAAGUACGGUCGCAAGACUAAAACUCAAAGGAAUUGACGGGGACCCGCACAAGCGGUGGAUGAUGUGGAUUAAUUCGAUGCAACGCGAAAAACCUUACCUACCCUUGACAUGUCAGAGAAGCUUUUGUAAUGAGAGUGUGCCCGCAAGGGCGUCUGAACACAGGUGCUGCAUGGCUGUCGUCAGCUCGUGUCGUGAGAUGUUGGGUUAAGUCCCGCAACGAGCGCAACCCUAUUGUUAGUUGCUACGCAAGAGCACUCUAGCGAGACUGCCGUUGACAAAACGGAGGAAGGCGGGGACGACGUCAAAUCAUCAUGCCCCUUAUGUCCUGGGCUACACACGUAAUACAAUGGCGGUUAACAAAGGGAUGCAAAGCCGCGAGGCAGAGCGAACCCCAAAAAGCCGUCCCAGUUCGGAUCGCAGGCUGCAACCCGCCUGCGUGAAGUCGGAAUCGCUAGUAAUCGCGGAUCAGCAUGCCGCGGUGAAUACGUUCCCGGGUCUUGUACUCACCGCCCGUCAA